CCCUUAGAUGUCCUGGGCCGCACGCGCGUUACACUGAUGCAUUCAACGAGCUUAUAACCUUGGCCGAGAGGCCUGGGCAAUCUUGUUAACGUGCAUCGUGAUAGGGAUAGAUUAUUGAAAUUAUUAAUCUUGAACGAGGAAUUCCUGGUAAACGCAGAUCAUCAAUCUGCAUUGAUUACGUCCCUGCCCUUUGUACACACCGCCCGUCGCACCUACCGAUUGAAUGGUCCGGUGAAAUCUUCGGAUUGAGACUUUGAUUUCUUCACGGAAAACGCUGUUUUAAAAAGUUGAUUAAACCUUACCAUUUAGAGGAAGGUGAAGUCGUAACA
Molecule: ribosomal RNA, 329 nt
Filed under: uncultured eukaryote
Lineage: Eukaryota
Description: partial 18S ribosomal RNA
Rfam family: Eukaryotic small subunit ribosomal RNA
Source: RNAcentral